GUCCUAGCCGUAAACGGUGCAUGUUUGCUGUAAAAGGAAUCGACCCCUUUUGUUGCGGAGCAAACGCGUUAAACAUGCCGCCUGGGAAGUACGGUCGCAAGAUUAAAACUCAAAGAAAUUGACGGGGGCCUGCACAAGCGGUGGAGUAUGUGGCUCAAUUCGAUGCAACGCGAAGAACCUUACCUGGCCUUGACAUGCAUAUAGUAGAAGGGUGAAAGCCUGACGAGGUAGCAAUACCAGUAUGCACAGGUGCUGCAUGGCUGUCGU
This 267-nucleotide ribosomal RNA is filed under the name uncultured bacterium. RNAcentral describes it as "partial 16S ribosomal RNA". It matches the Rfam family "Bacterial small subunit ribosomal RNA", at positions 793 to 1055 of the family's 1533-position model. The record is from RNAcentral.